Long non-coding RNA from Olea europaea var. sylvestris, 618 nucleotides. RefSeq lists it as uncharacterized. The transcript has 2 exons. The record is from RefSeq and is a predicted model, not a curated record. NCBI's taxonomy places the organism in Eukaryota, Viridiplantae, Streptophyta, Magnoliopsida, Lamiales, Oleaceae.
CGGGGAAAAUGAAAUAUGGAAUAGAAAAGUCGAGAUAUUUUUUUGGCUGGUUUCUUGGCAAGUGAUAUACUGUUUCCAUUUGAUCAGCUACACGAGGCAAAUCAAAAAAUUCAGGAACUGGUCAAAGAACAAGAUAGUUUUAUUGAUAUAUUCUCAGAAGAACGAGAGCGUCGAAAUACCGAGGAAGAAAAUUUGAGAAAGAAAUUGAAGGAGGCAUCAAAUACCAUCCAAGAAUUGCUCGACAGGGUGAGACUAUUGGAGAAAAGGUCUUCAAAUGGAAAACUGGACCGUUGAGAAAUAGUGAUAGGAUUCUGCGUGGUCCAUUUCUUUUUUAGAGCAUCAGUGCUUUCAAAACACGUUAAAAGUGUGCGAACGUACUGAAGGCAUGUAAUCGCUUUUGAUAAAGUUGAGGAGCACCACUUUUCCGAGACAGGUAACUGAUGCCUGGUUCUUUCUAUGGCUUCUCAUGUUCAUAGAUGACGUGACGUUAGGUUAGUAUUCAGGGAUGUCAAUAUUAUUCCCUCUUACGUACAGCAAUGUCUCAAAUGAUUUACUAAUUUUGUGUAGCUUUACCCAGAUUUAUCUAAUAUGGAAAAUAUCCCUCCUUUCUGCACUUCA